Molecule: ribosomal RNA, 587 nt
Filed under: bacterium 4878K2-B47
Lineage: Bacteria
Description: bacterial SSU rRNA
Rfam family: Bacterial small subunit ribosomal RNA
Source: RNAcentral
AUAGCUUGCUAUCAAUGCUGACGAGCGGCGGACGGGUGAGUAAUGCCUGGGAAUAUGCCCUGAUGUGGGGGAUAACUAUUGGAAACGAUAGCUAAUACCGCAUAAUCUCUUCGGAGCAAAGAGGGGGACCUUCGGGCCUCUCGCGUCAGGAUUAGCCCAGGUGGGAUUAGCUUGUUGGUGGGGUAAUGGCUCACCAAGGCAACGAUCCCUAGCUGGUCUGAGAGGAUGAUCAGCCACACUGGAACUGAGACACGGUCCAGACUCCUACGGGAGGCAGCAGUGGGGAAUAUUGCACAAUGGGGGAAACCCUGAUGCAGCCAUGCCGCGUGUAUGAAGAAGGCCUUCGGGUUGUAAAGUACUUUCAGUUGUGAGGAAGGCGUUGAUGUUAAUAGCUUCAGCGUUUGACGUUAGCAACAGAAGAAGCACCGGCUAACUCCGUGCCAGCAGCCGCGGUAAUACGGAGGGUGCGAGCGUUAAUCGGAAUUACUGGGCGUAAAGCGCAUGCAGGUGGUCUGUUAAGCAAGAUGUGAAAGCCCGGGGCUCAACCUCGGAACAGCAUUUUGAACUGGCAGACUAGAGUACUGUAG